CAGUCGCCGCGGUAAUACGAAGGGUGCAAGCGUUAAUCGGAAUUACUGGGCGUAAAGCGCGCGUAGGCGGUUUGUUAAGUCUGUUGUGAAAUCCCCGGGCUCAACCUGGGAAUGGCAAUGGAUACUGGCAAGCUAGAGUGUGUCAGAGGAUGGUGGAAUUCCCGGUGUAGCGGUGAAAUGCGUAGAGAUCGGGAGGAACAUCAGUGGCGAAGGCGGCCAUCUGGGACAACACUGACGCUGAGGCACGAAAGCGUGGGGAGCAAACAGGAUUAGAUACCCCCGUAGUCCCUGUCUCUUAUAC
This 301-nucleotide ribosomal RNA is filed under the name uncultured bacterium. Its description in RNAcentral is "partial 16S ribosomal RNA". It matches the Rfam family "Bacterial small subunit ribosomal RNA", at positions 509 to 807 of the family's 1533-position model. The record is from RNAcentral.